CACGGGUGAGUAACAUGUGGGAAUCUACCUAAAGGUUCGGAAUAACUGCGGGAAACUGUAGCUAAUACCGGAUGUGUCUGCAAAGAGAAAGAUUUAUCGCCUUUAGAUGAGCCCGCACUAGAUUAGCUAGUUGGUGAGGUAACUGCUCCACCAAGGCUACGAUCUAUAGCUGAUUUGAGAGGAUGAUCAGCCACACUGGGACUGAGACACGGCCCAGACUCCUACGGGAGGCAGCAGUAGGGAAUAUUGGACAAUGGGGGAAACCCUGAUCCAGCAAUGCCGCGUGAGUGAAGAAGGCCCUCGGGUUGUAAAACUCUUUCAUCAACGAUGAUAAUGACAUUAAUUGAAGAAGAAGCUCCGGCUAACUUCGUGCCAGCAGCCGCGGUAAUACGAAGGGGGCUAGCGUUGUUCGGAAUCACUGGGCGUAAAGCGUAUGUAGGCGGAUCAAAAAGUUAGAUGUGAAAUCCCUGGGCUCAACCCAGGAACUGCAUUUAAAACUAGUGAUCUAGAAUUUGGUAAAGGUUAGUAGAAUUUCCAGUGUAGAGGUGAAAUUCGUAGAUAUUGGAAAGAAUACCAGAAGCGAAGGCGACUAACUAGGCCAUUUUUGACGCUGAGAUACGAAAGCGUGGGUAGCAAACAGGAUUAGAUACCCUGGUAGUCCACGCAGUAAACGAUGAGUGCUAGUCGCUGGG
This 692-nucleotide ribosomal RNA is filed under the name uncultured bacterium. RNAcentral describes it as "bacterial SSU rRNA". It matches the Rfam family "Bacterial small subunit ribosomal RNA", at positions 100 to 827 of the family's 1533-position model. The record is from RNAcentral.